Molecule: non-coding RNA, 45 nt
Filed under: Schistosoma mansoni
Lineage: Eukaryota; Metazoa; Platyhelminthes; Trematoda; Strigeidida; Schistosomatidae
Source: RNAcentral
AUCCAGCCGAUGAGUCCUAAAGAGAACGAAACGCGCAUCCUGGAU